RNAcentral lists this non-coding RNA (25 nucleotides) under Mus musculus (house mouse). Lineage: Eukaryota; Metazoa; Chordata; Mammalia; Rodentia; Muridae. The record is from RNAcentral.
UGCUGUUAGAAUGACUGGUGGUCGU